GGCGGCGUAGCUCAGGGGUUAGAGCAGUCGCUUCAUAAGCGACGUGUCACUGGUUCAAAUCCAGUCGCCGCUA
RNAcentral lists this transfer RNA (73 nucleotides) under Zavarzinella sp. Its description in RNAcentral is "tRNA-Met". It matches the Rfam family "tRNA". Rfam says of the family: Transfer RNA (tRNA) molecules are approximately 80 nucleotides in length. Their secondary structure includes four short double-helical elements and three loops (D, anti-codon, and T loops). Further hydrogen bonds mediate the characteristic L-shaped molecular structure. tRNAs have two regions of fundamental functional importance: the anti-codon, which is responsible for specific mRNA codon recognition, and the 3' end, to which the tRNAs corresponding amino acid is attached (by aminoacyl-tRNA synthetases). tRNAs cope with the degeneracy of the genetic code in two manners: having more than one tRNA (with a specific anti-codon) for a particular amino acid; and 'wobble' base-pairing, i.e. permitting non-standard base-pairing at the 3rd anti-codon position. Lineage: Bacteria; Pseudomonadati; Planctomycetota; Planctomycetia; Gemmatales; Gemmataceae. The record is from RNAcentral. RNAcentral also lists the same sequence under 2 other names.